This 1129-nucleotide ribosomal RNA is filed under the name uncultured fungus. RNAcentral describes it as "eukaryotic LSU rRNA". The stretch from base 508 to 1129 matches the Rfam family "Eukaryotic large subunit ribosomal RNA", at positions 1 to 649 of the family's 3401-position model. The record is from RNAcentral. Lineage: Eukaryota; Fungi.
AAGUCGUAACAAGGUCUCCGUUGGUGAACCAGCGGAGGGAUCAUUACAGAGUUGCAAAACUCCCAACCAUUGUGAACCUUACCUAGCGAUGCUCUGGUGGGCGGCCCUCGCGGCCGGCAGCCCCCUCGGGGGAGGCACCCCACCGGACUCGUUAAACUCUUAUCAUGGCCUCUCUGAGUAACAAACAAAUAAGUUAAAACUUUCAACAACGGAUCUCUUGGCUCUGGCAUCGAUGAAGAACGCAGCGAAAUGCGAUAAGUAAUGUGAAUUGCAGAAUUCAGUGAAUCAUCGAAUCUUUGAACGCACAUUGCGCCCGCUAGUAUUCUGGCGGGCAUGCCUGUUCGAGCGUCAUUUCAACCAUCAAGCCCCGUGCUUGUGUUGGGGACCUGCGGCCGCCGCAGCCCCCUAAAUCCAGUGGCGGUCUCGUUGUCAUACCGAGUGCAGUAAUCUUCUACGCUUAGGGAAUGGCGGCGGGUUCUGGCCGUUAAAGCACCAAAUUAUCAAGGUUGACCUCGGAUCAGGUAGGAAUACCCGCUGAACUUAAGCAUAUCAAUAAGCGGAGGAAAAGAAACCAACAGGGAUUGCCUCAGUAACGGCGAGUGAAGCGGCAACAGCUCAAAUUUGAAAUCUGGCUUCGGCCCGAGUUGUAAUUUGCAGAGGAAUCUUCUGGUGCGGUGCCGUCCGAGUCCCCUGGAACGGGGCGCCAUAGAGGGUGAGAGCCCCGUAUGGAUGGACGCCAAACCUGUGUGAAGAUCCUUCGACGAGUCGAGUAGUUUGGGAAUGCUGCUCUAAAUGGGAGGUAAAUUCCUUCUAAAGCUAAAUAUAGGCCAGAGACCGAUAGCGCACAAGUAGAGUGAUCGAAAGAUGAAAAGCACUUUGAAAAGAGGGUUAAAUAGCACGUGAAAUUGUUGAAAGGGAAGCGCUUGUGACCAGACUUGCGCCCGGGCGAUCAUCCGGCGUUCUCGCCGGUGCACUCGUCCGGGAACAGGCCAGCAUCGGUUUCCGCCGGGGGACAAAGGUCCCGGGAACGUAGCUCCUUAGGGAGUGUUAUAGUCCGGGGCGUAAUACCCUAGUGGGGACCGAGGACCGCGCAUCUGCAAGGAUGCUGGCGUAAUGGUCAUCAGCGACC